UCAGAAACUUGCUGACCUUGGGACA
RNAcentral lists this non-coding RNA (25 nucleotides) under Mus musculus (house mouse). The record is from RNAcentral. RNAcentral also lists the same sequence under 1 other name. Lineage: Eukaryota; Metazoa; Chordata; Mammalia; Rodentia; Muridae.